RNAcentral lists this ribosomal RNA (253 nucleotides) under uncultured bacterium. RNAcentral describes it as "partial 16S ribosomal RNA". It matches the Rfam family "Bacterial small subunit ribosomal RNA", at positions 524 to 776 of the family's 1533-position model. The record is from RNAcentral.
UACGUAGGGGGCAAGCGUUGUCCGGAAUUAUUGGGCGUAAAGAGCUCGUAGGCGGCUCGGUAAGUCAGGUGUCAAAUCCUCAGGCUCAACCUGGGGCUCCACCUGAUACUGCUGUGGCUAGAGUCCGGUAGGGGAGCGUGGAAUUCCUGGUGUAGCGGUGAUAUGCGCAGAUAUCAGGAGGAACACCAGCGGCGAAGGCGGCGCUCUGGGCCGGAACUGACGCUGAGGAGCGAAAGCGUGGGUAGCAAACAGG